RNA transcript from Mangifera indica (mango), 2287 nucleotides. RefSeq lists it as uncharacterized. The record is from RefSeq and is a predicted model, not a curated record. The transcript has 4 exons. Lineage: Eukaryota; Viridiplantae; Streptophyta; Magnoliopsida; Sapindales; Anacardiaceae.
AAUUUAGCUUUAACAUUACUGGUAGAAAUUUUGAAGUGUUUUGAUAUACUUAUCAAAACGACACCGCAUAAGACAAAACCAGAGACCUGACAAUAUAUUUUUUUCCCAGGUUAACGUGUCUGCAAGACUGCAAUUGAAAGUGUCAAACAUUUCUAACGACUUUCUUCAACAAGCUUUCAGUCUGUCUUGUAAUCUAACAGUUCAGAUUUCCCUUCUCUUUUCAUUUAUCUUCUCAUUACGCACAAUCAUCAUCAUCCAUCGCAAAAUCAAAUGGCUUCAUUGGCAGCCAAUUUCACUGCCUUUCUCUUCCUUUUCCCAGCUGGCCUUAACCGCCUACUUUUUUCUUCAUCUCUUUAUCUUAAAAACCCUUCUGUUUUCAGAUCAAAACCAUGGUAUUUCUCUGACCAAAGAUACAAAAAUUUUGAUCUUUAUUUCUUGAUUAUUUCACUCCCCAUUGCCUCUUUUAGCGAGUUAUUCUUUUUCUUGACUUUUUCUGGCCACCCCACUUUCAGAUUCUCCUUCUUUAUGCAAUCGGCUUCACUUUUUCUCUUCUGGCUACUCAUUAUUAUCAUUUUUUUUCGUGAAACUUACGACGCUUUCAUCGUUAACGAGAGUUUUGCUUUUCUUUUUCUGGGAAUUUCGUUUCUUGUGGAAUAUUCUGUGGUUGGGAAAGGAAUUGGAGGCCCCCUUGGUGGGGAGGCUUAUAAUUUGUUGGGUGAAUUGACUCUUAUUUGUGCUGGUGCUUGUUUGGUUUUGUCCAUAAAGCCAACUGCUUUUUUUGCCGAGUUUUUCUUGUCUUGUGGGUUGAUUUUUAAAGGGACUUGGUUGUUACAAACCGGCUUCUCUUUGUACACUGAUACAUUUGCCUUCAAAGGGUGUCAUAAAAUUUCUCCGUCUACUGCUAAAGAUUUUAUUGAAAGUAAAUGUGAUCUUGACAAGGAUGGCCUUAGGGGGGUAGCAUUCAUUAAUCUUUUGUUUGUUGCGCAUGCAAUUGCGGUGUUUAUAGGAAGCGUUGUGUUGUUCGGGUUCUUAUCAAGUCAUAAAAAAUUGGGGCGUGGUGAGGCAAGCGGGCCAUUGCUAGCGCAGCUCGAAUCCGACAGCUCGUUGAUGCAUCCUGUUCCUGAAUUUGAACUGGAAUGAGGUCACGCAAAACCAGCAUUCUCUGUCAGCAUCCUUAUAUGAUGGCAACCUUUGCAGUGGACCAGUGGCAGGUAGCUUCUGACUUCGGAGUGAUUCAUUUCAUGUUCUUGGUUUGAUGGAUAUUCUGAUGCAAUAUAAUUGCAAUAGCAGUUGAUUGUAACUCUCGCCAUUGCAUUUUGUCAUCUGAUGCCAAUUCAUAGCUCCAUAGCCUUACUUGACUGUUACAGCCUGCUGUCUACUGAUAACUAGCUUACAUGCUUGAGGUUGUUGGUUAUCUCUUUAAGUUUGAAUAUAAAGAAGUGUGUCCAUCCAGAAGCAGGAGAAUGAGAUUACAAACUGAAAGAAUUUGUGAGGAGGUGAUGCCCCUCUAAUUCCCAAGUCUGCAGGUGGUUGCAGAAGAUUCCAUUACUAUUUGCACAGCUAGUUACUGAAAAUUGUCCAAUUUUUCUUUCUUUCUUUUCAACUGAGUUUCAACAUUCAAACUUUGGCAAGGAGUGGAGAAUGAGUUCUCUGAAACAAAUGUUCAAAUGCUUAGUAAUGAGACAUCCCUUGGUCAAUUAUCCUACUCAUAUUUAACUAGAUGGACCUGAUGUCUCUUUGAUUGUUAUGUGGUUGUUGCUACAAUUUUACAAGAUUUGAUGAAGGUCUGCUCGCAAGCAAUAUUUGGAGUGAAAAUAAUAUGUUCAACAGAAAAUUAUUUCUUAAAUUUGAACUCAUCAAGUUCAAUAAUAUCCACAGCAUCAGAAUAAAUUCCUUUCACCAUCUCCAUUGUACCAUGCAAAAGCCCAUAUGCAACAAGUCUCUUUGGACAGAAAUCGAGUUGAUAUUGACGAGAAGGCAUGUCGUGGAUCUGAUACCAAAGACUGUCAAACAUUAUGAGGCAAUCUGCUGUGUAAUCCUCAUUCUUUUUUUUUAAUGUCUAUGUAUCUUCCAGGUUACACUUACAAGUGCUAUAUUUAUACCAGUACCUUUGCCCUCUACUGCUGUGGAAGUUUGAUUUAUAACAGAUCUUAAUAGUUACAGAAAGCCUUGCUACCAAUAGCAAAUUUGUACUGUAUUCUUGAUCCCUUUCCAGAACAUGUUUAUGCAUUGUAAGUUUCCUUGGAAAUGCAUAAUGGACUAAUUGCUCGAUGCAUCUUUUAAGGCA